GAGCUGUUACACUUACACACCACUCUCUCUCUCUCUCGUUCUCUCUAUUUCUCCCUGUUUUCCUGUGUCUUUCUCCACCUCCUCAUAUAUCGCCAGCAGCCACUCCUGCUCAAAGCCGUCGUUGCCAACCAGAUCCACCAUGCCACCACCUGCUAUUGCAUUUAGCUUCUUCGAUAGUGCAUUUCCGUAUUGAGACGGAUUCACCCCUCCUCGCCUGGAUCCCAUAGUUUCUCUGCCUCCUUCUCGCGCAGAUCCGCCAUCGUCGGCGACGGGAGGGGCGGAUCCGGCGACCCCUUCCCCUCCUGCACGGAUCCCGUGGGCGGCUUCACUCCUCCUCGCUUGGAUCCUGUCGUCUCUCCUCCCCACUGUCGCGCGGAUCCUUCGUGGGUGGUGAUGGGAGGUGCGGAUCCGGCGAUCUCUUCCCCUCUCACACGAUUCUCGUCGUCUCUCCGCCCCCCUCUCGCACGGAUCUGCCGCCAGCGACGACGGGAGGGCGGACCCGGCGGCCUCCCCUAGGGUGACGACGGCAAUUGGUUUCAAGAGGUGCCGAUGUCCAUGAUGAGACCGUAUGCGUCUCAUGGUCUCCAUCACCAAAGCCGCCGAUAGCGCCAAGAAGAUGUACAUUGCUCUUGAGCUCCCCCGAUCCCCACUCGUUCCAUCACCAUCACUCAACGGACUCCCCGCUAGCUGUCCGGCCGGCCGGAGAGGAGGGUUCAAGCUUGCAGACGAAGGUGGACCGAGGAGAGCGCAGCCGAGUGGUGGCACUGAAGAUAGUGGGCGUUUCUUCAUGAUUUCAGGGGAGGAGCGGAUUGUUGAGUGGAUUCGAGGCAGAGAUGGUGGUUAGGAUGGAGUGGUGAUGUCAUCGGAGGUUGUCUCGAAUGCUGCAGUCGAGGUGUCUGAACCGAAAUCUAUUUUCCAACUUCGGGAGUGGAGGAGAAACUGGGUUCAUGUUUUCACCGCCGCUGGUCGGAAAUUGGGUUCAGUUUAAUGAUAACGUGGAAGUGGCUUGACCCCCGAGGAAGAGCCUCGUGAUUUGUAUUUUUGUAUUUUCUUGUGUGUUUCUAUUAUUUCUAUAUGUAUGUCUUGCCUGUGAUUGUAUUCGUGUAUGUGUAUUUUUCCCCUGCGAGAGAAAUCUGUAAAAUCGUGUUAGUGUGAGCGCUAAAAAAUAGCGGUAGAAAUAACAGAAGAAAAGGAAAACGGAGGACUUGCGGUUUGUGGCCUUGUGGGCUUGUGGUGCACCUGGACUUGUGGGUUAGGCUUUAUGGGCUUGUCGCUUGGACCCGGGCUUGCUUGUGGGCCUGUGGACAGAUGUGGCCUACUGGGCAAUGAUCACACACAAAAGCGCGUACGGACGAAAAAUCGGAUCUGUGUAAACUGCGCGUACGGACGAAAAAGCGUACGGACGACAAAUUGGUGACGAAAGGAAAAAUCCGAAUCUUUUAGUUAAGAUUUGUCUAACAAA
Molecule: long non-coding RNA, 1462 nt
Organism: Oryza sativa Japonica Group (Japanese rice)
Lineage: Eukaryota; Viridiplantae; Streptophyta; Magnoliopsida; Poales; Poaceae
Source: RefSeq, a predicted model, not a curated record